UGCAGAACCAGAAUUGGUUUCCAGAGC
RNAcentral lists this non-coding RNA (27 nucleotides) under Homo sapiens (human). Lineage: Eukaryota; Metazoa; Chordata; Mammalia; Primates; Hominidae. The record is from RNAcentral.